RNAcentral lists this unclassified non-coding RNA (190 nucleotides) under Polyporus tricholoma. Its description in RNAcentral is "ITS2". The record is from RNAcentral. Lineage: Eukaryota; Fungi; Basidiomycota; Agaricomycetes; Polyporales; Polyporaceae.
AUUCUCAACCCACACAUCCUUGUGAUGCUUGUAGGGCUUGGACUUGGAGGCUUGCCGGCCGUCGCGGUCGGCUCCUCUUGAACGCAUUAGCUUGAUUCCGUGCGGAUCGGCUCUCAGUGUGAUAAUUGUCUACGCUGUGACCGUGAAGCGUUUGGCGAGCUUCUACCGUCCGUCUAGGACACUCUUUGAC